GUGCUCACAGUGGGGUGAUGACAUGGGAGCCGUGGGUAUGGUGUGAAAAAGAGAGAGAUAAGAUAUGGCCGGAGGGGGGAACGCCGGUUUCGGAAAGGAGUGUCGGCCGACAGUGGAGUCGUCGGUGGUGAGAAGGGCCGCCGUCGUGGGUAUGAUGGUGUGGAGAGAGAAGAGAAAUAGAGAGAGGGAAGAGAAAGGUGGCCUGUGGGUGUGAGGAAAAGAAGAAAAGAGAGAAAAUGGGGAGGAAAUGAGGGUGAGUGGAAUUGUCGCGGGGAUCAGAGAGAGAGAAGGAGGAGGGGGGUUUUAAAUCUCCAACAAAGUAUUUUUAAAAAUAAAUAUAAAUCUUAAUUAUAAAAUCCAAUUAUAUAAAUCCUAAAUAAAAAAUCUAGUUGUAUAUGAUUGUGUAGACCCCCGAGGAGCUGGAGCUUUCUUUUAUGAUUAUUUUUUGCUGUUUUUCUGACGGCCUCUCAAGUGGGCUGCUCUCGGGCGGCUGGGACGGGAUACGGACAUGGCUUGGGGAGGAAGCUAAAGAAAAACAGAGGAGAAAGAAGAGAGAGGGGGAGACUGAGAAAGAAGAGAGAGGGGGAGACUGAGAAAAAAAGGGGCGGGGGAAGGUUUUUUUUUAGAAGAGGCUUUCCAGGUACGAACCCCAUAUUCACCAUUGUCCCUGUUUGUUAUUUUCUCUACUUUGUCUCUAGAUAUUAUUGUUUGUUUCAUAUCAGGCCAUAUUGUUAGCUUUCCUUGAUCUCUACCAUGGAUUUGUGAUCAUUAUUUUAUCAUCUUUCCCUCUUGGUUUUGUUGAAGAGCAAGCCGACUCUGUUUUUAGCUUCACUAUGAAAUAUCUCAGCAUUCACUCCCAUAUUUUUGUAUGAACCUAUGGUCUUUCAAUCCGUUAGCAAGCUUGUUGAAUGAAGCAUGAAACGGGUUUUGCACGUUUUUUUAUUUAUUUAUUUUAUUAUUCCCAUUUUUGGUACUCUGUUCUUGCCGUUUCCUCUGUUAUUGGAGGUGCAAAUGUCCCUGCAAUGAAUGAUCUUUUGGCACCAUUUGAGAUUGUUUUUGGAAGAUGAGAUACCCAAUGGUGAUUUUUCUAUUGACGGUGAGCACGGUCACUACGCAGUUGGAAUAGAUAUUGUAAGGUUACCCAACCAAGGAAGACGCAAAGGAGACUUAUUUUUAACGGGACAUGAUGUCGCUCCUCUUUAUUGUUAUGCUGGGAAUAACAGGGUCCAAAUGAAGAUCCCAAGGGUAUUAUGUGCUGAUGGUAUUUGUGUUUUUAUGCUCAGUUUGUUGUUGGCAUUCCCUGCUUGCACGUGAUGCAUGCAUGCAUGGCCAUAUGGAACAUUUCAUCUUCCAUCUUCUCAAGAACCCAUCAUUCAUACCCAUUUCAUAAUUCCUAUUCACCAUUUUCCCAUCACCUUCAUAUCUAUAUUCCUAUUACUCAUAUUAUAUGUUCCACCGCUUCUCGUUUUAUAUCACUCAUCCCAUGCAUGCACCCAUAGCCAUCAAACCCAUUGUUUCAUACCCAUUUUCCUUCCCAUCACCCUUUCUCUCACUAGCUCGUUCCAUAUCACUCAUCCCAUGCAUGCACCCAUAGCCAUCAAACCCAUUGUUUCCUACCCAUUUUCCUUCCCAUCACCCUUUCUCUCACUAGCUCGUUCCAUAUCACUCAUCCCAUGCAUGCACCCAUAGCCAUCACCCUUCAUACCCAUGCAAACCAUCCAUUUUCAUACCCGGCUACCCACCAUACCCAUGCUAUGCUCAUCUCCAUAGGAAUCCCAAAGCCACCCACCUACAUGCAUGGGAAUCGUGCAUGCAUGGCCACCCCCCAUGGUUGCCAUUCAUCAACACAUACCCAUGCUAACCUCCAUACCCGUAUCCUCCAUGCCCUCAUGUAUAUCACCACCCUCCCAUGCAUAACUAUCCUCCACUUACCCAUUUUUCUUCUUCUUACCACAUUUCUCUCUCUACACCACCACCACUACCAAACCCUCAUUUUCUCACUAACUAACUCCCUUUCUACUCCCUACCCGGUUAUCUCUCUACACCACAUACCCAUUUUCCAAAUACCCAUCAACCCACCUUUCUUGGCCCACUUCCAAAGCCCACUAAACUUAUUUUCUUGCACAAUGGAUUGGAGAAGCCCAAGGCCCGUGAGUGCAUUUUGAAGGUUUGAAGGCCUUUCUCCAUCUUAGGGUCAUCUCAAAGUGCAUUUUGAAGCCCAGGCCCAUGAGCAUCAUUUUAAAUUUUCUCUCCACCUUGGCCCAUUCCUAAAUGCUCCCAUUCACCCUUGGCCCAUUUCCAAAGCCCUCAAAUUUUAAAAGUUGAUUUAUGGAAAUCUAGCACCCAAAUAAUUUUAUCUUACAAAUUUUCAUCUUUAAAUAAUCCUUUAAAAAUUCCGAUUCUAAAUUUAAUUUCUAAUUUCAAAAAUUUCACUAUUUACGUUCAUCUAUUUAAUUAUUGUUUUCAUUAUUAUUAUUAUUAUUAUUAUUAUUAUUAUUAUUAUUCCACUUAUUUAUUUAUUUUUUAUUAUUAUUAUCAUUUUACCUAUUUAUUUUUAAAAAAAAAUUACACAUUCAAAUAAUUUCCAAUAUUUAAAUUUUUUAUAAUUUAACUUUCAUAGUUUCUACUUCCUAAAUAAUUUCCAAAAUUAUGCUCUCUUUCGAAUCUAAUCCCUAAAAUCCCAAUUCUUAAAUUUAAAUUUUCAAAACUCCAAUACUUAAAUAAUUUACUAAUUGCUUUCAAAUUUAAUUCCCAAAAUCCCAAUUUCUAAAUUUAAUUUUCAAAACUCCAAUUCUCAAACAAUUUACUAAUUUCUUUCAAAUUUAAUUUCCAAAAUUCCUUAAAUUUAAAUUUUCAAAACUUCAAUCCUUAAAUAAUUUACUAAUUGCUUUCAAAUUUAAUUCCCAAAAUUCCAAUUUCUAAAUUUAAUUUUCAAAACUCCAAUUUUCAAACAAUUUACUAACUUCUUUCAAAUUUAAUUUCCAAAAUUCCAAUUCUUAAAUUCAAUUCCCAAGACUCCAAUUUUCAAAUAAAUUUCAAGAAAAUCUAGUUUUCUUUCCAAUAGUCUUAAUUCCAUUCUGGUCUUCAAACAAUCUUCUGCUCCUCUUGUUUUUAAUAAGCGUGAAUGCAAUUUUCAUAAUUCCUAAAUAAUGGAAUUUGUGAUAUUAAUUCAUGCAAGAUUAAUCGGGUUUUGGUGGGGGCCUCACGUACAUGAUCUUAUGAUCUAUUGAUUGAUUGACUUGGUUAUCAUACAUGAUUUAUUUAUCCUGCUCUCCGACAUGCAUGCUAUUAUUUCUUAAUUGUGCACUAACCUCUCUCUUGAUAGCGCAUGGUGGCUCGUCGCCCAGGUACGCACCUACUUUCACUCUGGUAAUUGUCCAAGCAUAUUUUGAUUCUCACGUGUGCAUGAUUUAUUCUGGGUACUCAUCGAUCUACUCGUCCUGCUAUGAUUGCCUCAUUUUAUUAGUAGAGACCCGUUUUUAGAGACUUAGAAGGGUGCUAUGGUUUUUACCGUACCUUCCUAAUAAGUAACCUAACCCCCGAACCCGAUCCCGUUUUUCACAGACCACCUCUUCCAAAGUAAGGAGUCACAUUUAGGGUUUUUCUUUCUUAUUUUGUUUACCCUUUAAAAAUAAAACAAAAAUAAGUUGCGACUCCAAGUCAUUUUCGAAUAAUCAAUAAAUCAAUUUUUCAAAUAAAAUCGAGUUCGCCAUCGAGUGGAAAACGCACGAGCCGAAAAUAUGGGGUCCACAGAUUGCUAAAUAUCAAAUGCACUCUAAUAUAUAAAGGAAAUUUAUUAUUAUUUUUAAUUAUCUUCUCAAUGCACAUACAUGCUAAUUUUCACUUUCAAAUUAAAAUUAGACUAAAAUAUUUUUGAAGUUUGGUAUGAUUUUAUUUUUUUAUUUUUCUAAAAAAGGGUUGGACUUUUGUUUUGAUUUUCAAAAUAGUUUUUUUAUUCUUAGAAAAGGAAAAUAAUUUUGUAAACUUGUAAAAAAUAAAGUCAAACAAUAGGCCUUUUUAUAAAUAAAUAAAUAAAAAUCUUUGAUCAUUUUUAAAAAUUAUUGUAUAGAUGAGCUAAAAAGUACAUAAAUAAACCACUUUUCUUCUUUUAAGUCUCUAUUUAUUGUAAGUCACUUGUAAUAAUAAAAAGUUAAAAUUUAAUAAAAGUGUUCUACAUUAUUAAAACUUAAAAAAAUGAAUUUUCUAAAAUAAGAUUAAAAAAAACAUAUCUAUUCCAUUUGAAUUGCUCUCUACCUAUUUUAUCAUAGCAUGUUACAAAUUAAUUAGGUAAUGGUGAAAAAUUGCUAAAGAGUACUUAUUUUACUAUAAUUUUCUUCUAUUUAAAUUUUUAUUUUUGAUAUUAUUUAAUAAUAAAUAUAAUGAAAUUAAUGAUCAUAUAUAUUGACAUUUAGUUUUCUUAUUUAACUUAAAAUAAUUGGUCAUAUUCCUUUUUUUUUAAUUCCCCUAUUUUUUUAUUAUUUAUUUUGUAGUUCAACUACUAAAUAAAAUUUAUGAAUAAAUCAUUGUUGAAUAUAUAAAAUGUUACUCCUAUAUCAUAAUAUUUUUUUUCUCUUUGUUUUUUAGACUUGAAAUUAAGUCGUAUAAUAAAUUAAUAAAUUUUAUACAAAAUAUAUAUACAUUUUUUUUUGUUUAAGUAUAUGAUAGAAUAAUUGUCUUUCAUUAUCUACUAAUUUCAAUGAUAAGAUAUCAAACGUAAAUAUAUAAAUAUUCUUUAUAUAUCACUAUUUCCAAUUCAUAUGCAAUCUUUUAUUAUUUUUAUUUAAAAUUUUCAAUAAUUAUGGGUUAAGGUGCACAAACACACAAAUAGAUUGAACUCAUUGAGAAGAGGGCCCAUGGGUUUACCCUUCGGUUGGCCCAUUGAGUUGAAUAACUCUCUUUAAUUAUAGGCUUUUAGCCCAUUAGGGUUGAGGUGGGUAUAUACCAUAUUUUACAAUUUUUCUGUUAAAUAGUGAUGCAAAGCAUGGAAAAUUACAAAAGAGAGGAGAGCAAAGGAAGAACUUCAAUGGUAAUACUAACGGAACAUCAAGAAAUUUAUUGUAUGUUGAUCACAAAGUACAUGUACUCUAGCUUCUACAUUUCAUUAAACUUUUCUUACAAGGGAGAUGACCAAAUUAAUAUACUUAGCCCUUGUCUUUGCCAAGUGAUCGCCCACCAUCUCACCGUACCUUUGAAAUAAACCAUCCAUUACAUCUCCUCCAAAAUGGCUUGCUAGCAUGGACUCAACCACAGCUCUAAUUGUCUUAGCCACUCGUGCUCCAUUUGAUAGCGUUGAGGACGUGGGAGUUGCAUCAUAAUUAUCACCAUCACCCCCAUCCCAAUCUAUUUCAAACAUUUCCAGCCGAUCUAAGAUGAAUGACCCCUCUUUGUAUAUUCCAAAUUUCACUUCUUCCGGACUUGGUGCAUAGUAUGGAGCAUCGAAUGAAUCAACCUUUUUCUCUUCGAUUAGACCCUGCAUUUAGGAGAAAUAUGUUCUAUUUAAUUUUGGCAAUCGACCCUCACAAAUUUAAAUAAUAUCAUACAAACUUCUCUUUUUUCGAUAAACUGGAAAACCUUAUGAUGUCAAAUUUUUUACUGAAGGAAUGAGUAAAAUGCAUGAAUGAACAUGUUAUGAAAUUCAUCAAGUUGUUAAAAAGGUAUUUAAUAUGACUUAAUGACUUAAUUUAAGUCAUAAAUAAAUUAAACAUAUUUUAUAAAAUAAUUUAAUAAUCAUAACUUAAAGUUAAAAAUAACUUCAAGUAUUAAAUUAAAAUAAUGAACUUAUCUUUAAUCUUAAAUUUCUUUUAACUCAUUUUUUUCAUAUCUAGUGAGACUAAAUUUUAAUUGAGACUCCACAUGCACAACUUAUUUUUAAAGUUAAAAUAUAACUUUAAAUAUUAAGUUAUAAUAAUUAACUUAUUCUUAAUUUUUUACCUCAUUUUUAUAUAACUAAUGAGAAUAUAUUUUAUAAUUAUUGACUCAUUUUUUUAUAUUAAAUACUUUAUGAUUUGCCUCAUAUAGCAAAAAAAAAAUUAUUACUUAUAAAAAUUAAUAAAAAUAAAUAAUAAUAAAAAAUGGUGAUAGUAAAUAUAUUCUAUGAUGAUUUAAAAUAAAUUUUAAGUUGAAUUAUAUCUUAAAAUAAAAAUAAGUAUUAUAUGAUAAAUUAAAUCAAUAAUUUAAUUUAAAAUUAAUUGAAAUGAUCAAAUAAUAUGCAUUAAUUAAUUUUAUCCUCAACCUCUCCAAAUGAUAAGAGGCAGGCAAGAUUGAGAGGGGCUAGAAAAAAUCGGGUAGAUUUUUUUAGCAUUAGUAGGUAGGGUUAUGGUAGACGAGUGGUCCCAAGUGAGAGGGAUAAUUGGUGCCACCAACUGACCAACCUCAACAGCCCUCGUGGAGACUGUGAACACAACACACAGUGCGACCACAAAUGCAGAUUAUGCUGUGAUUCUGUCUGGUUUAGAGCUUCCAUCCGCUUCUCCACAAUGAAAGAUGAAAAAAGACAAAAAAAAAAAAUGGGGGGAAGGAAGAAGUUCGAUUGAAUAGAUAUAUAUACCUCCGAAACCAUGCUCAUGAGUGCUCGGGCUAUGAGCUCCCACUGGUAGCAACUCUCUUUUGAACGAGGGUCUGUGGAUCUCCUGCCCAUGAAGGACAACACCAUGCGUCCUCCCCCCACUAUUUCUUCUGCACGUGACUUGAGAAACACUGACCAGUCCUUCUGGAACUGCGAUGAGUAUGCCUCCAAAACGCAAUCUGGACUCGUCUUUGAUAUGUAAAUUUUUCCCUUGUUCCAGCUCCCUCUCCCAUCCUUGCUCUCUAGACCCGGUGGAACCUGCAAAUAAAUGUUCAUCCUUUCUUUUCUCAGUAUAAUUCACGUAGGGCUUCCUCGUAUGUGAGGGAGUACUUGCCCCCAAAUCAGUUACAUUUAAUAAAAAAAGAAAAGAAAAAAAGAUCGGAAAAAGAAAAACAGAGAAGAGAGAAAAAAAAAAAAACAUCUACCCAGAUUUCAUCAAUAAGUCAAUCCCAUUUCAUCUAUGGUCCGAUCCAGUUGAAAUUUAAAGGAGAGAUUUGAAACUCGAAUAGCUACAAUCUGAAUGGUGGAAAUCAGAUUUUGAGUUCGGAAAUUGGUGUUGCUGCCCGUGAACAGUAACAGUGUUUUUUUGUUUACUUUCCUCAAUUUUUCUUUGUUUCUCUUGUCAAGAGAGAUUAUAUAAUCCGAUGUUAUAUGUGCUCUUGAUAUAUUUGGUAAUCUUUAGUGAUUAUUUUAGAGAAAACAGGUGCAACUCAUUAUUGUUUAUAGUCAAAGUUUGAAUCGUACUAUGUCUUAUGAUUUUUUCUUUCAUACAAAAGGUUUUCCAUAUAAAAAUUAUGGUAUCUGUUUUAUUUUUCUAUUGCAUGAAUUUAUUUAUUUAUUACUACUAGUUAUUAUUGUCUAUUUAAUUUUACACAAAGAAAUUAUAUAAAAAUCCUGAUAUUUAUUGGAAUAUUGUGAUUUCACCCUAACAAUUCAAGAGAUAGGUCUUGUUAAAUUGUAAUCAUUAUCUUAGAAUAAUGUUAUUUUUCUAUCUCAAUUGUAUCACAUCUAAAUGUUGAAAUAGUGAUUGAAUACAUUCAAAGAAAAUUAGUUAUUAAUAUGUAUUGAAUGGGAUAAAAGCGAUUAAUAUAAAAUGGCAAACAACAAACAUUUAAACAAUUGGGUAAAAAUGGAAGAGAAUAGCAUUACUCAGGGUGAGAGGGAAGAGUAAUACUAUUCAUGGCCAGGGGAGGAUUGAUUUUAGCGCUGUCUCUUCAAAAGGAACAAGCUGUUGAAGGUUGAGGGAGAGAGAACACAUAUUGAAUAUAUGGUCCUUCUACAGACGGGCAUGGUGGCUCCUGGGAACCGGUUCAUAUACCAGUCUAGACCAUGGUCGGUGUUUUUCUAAGUUGGGUCAAAGGAGAAUAAAUAUAAGGAAAUACAAACAAACCUGAGAGAGCCAGUGGAGACUGGAAGAAGAGUGCACGAAAUGGAGACUCUUGCUUGGGAACACCCUCCCGUAAAAUGAACCAGGCACACCCGAUAUAAAACAUGGCCCAAACUCGGAGCCUUUCUCUUCCUUGAGUCUGUUGUAAAAUGCAGGGAGUGAGCCAAACACAUUGUUGAAGUCAUUGCCGAUGAGAUCAUUCAAGUACACCCUAAACUCAGGCGAACAAGGACGACCCAGCUGCUGCCAUUUGGCAUAUAUCACGUCCAGUAUCUCUGACACCACCAACAAGGCGUUGGGUCCAGAUGAGCAACCCAAAUCCGCAAUGCCUACGCUCUCAGGCAAGACAUUGUUGAAUAUAUCUAGUAUAGCUUCCUCCGUCACUGGUUUCGCUGUGGAUAUAAUGUUGCUCUGCAAAAAAAAAUUGAAUAAACAGCUAUGAGCUUUUCUCGAUCUAAAGCAAAAAGAGAAGAGAUAUAUAAGCAGCAGAAAUCACAAAAAAAUUGGCAAUCUGGGAAUACAUUAAUAUUUUCUUUGUGUGGGGUUCAACAUUUCUUGCUAGCUAUGGUUCUGUCAACUUUCUAUGUAUGCCUACUCCAUUUACUAAAAGUACUGGGAAUCAUAAAAAUCAUAUAAUCUUACAAGGAUGAAACUAAUCAACCUGAACUGUGGAGUUGGUUGCGUAACUUGUCUCCCCAGCCCCUUUGUUCAUAUGGAGUACUUGCAUCACUUCCAUCUCUCUCCACACAAUACAAACUCAAUUGCAAUGAAGAAUUUUAGUCUAAAGACUGGAAAAUCCGGAUAGAAACUUAAAUGGAAAGCAUAGAAGGGAGGUGCUUUAUAUACAAGUCAGGUAGCAAGUAUGCUGAAUGAUUUGCUAACCUCCGAUAAAAUCUAGAAACCUAGCUAUCCUGCCAUAACCAACCAAAGCUAGCCAUCUACAAAAUAUGUGGUUUUCGAUAACCUCCUGUGGAUCCCGUUGACCAGCGCGCCGCCCGUAACAUGACAACCACAUCCUUAUUUGUUGGGUUCCUUUCCUCAUUAUUCACGUACUUGCCUUUUAAGAGAGCCAACCCCACACACCCUAACAAAAUAUUUGACCAGCCAUAAAAAAGAUUUGGUUUUUCUAUUUGAAAAUUUCAGCUAUCACCGGCCGGAUUUUUUCUCCUAAGUUCUCUUCCAAUGGUUGACUUGUGCCAUUUAUCACAUUUAUCACAUUUCUCCUAAGGUCUCUUCCAAUGGUUGACUGCAUCUAAGUCUUGGGAAUGGGGGACUUGUGCCAUUUAUCACAUUUAUCACAUUUCUCCUAAGUUCUCUUCCAAUGGUUGACUGCAUCUAAGUCUUGGGAAUGGGGGACUUGUGCCAUUUAUCACAGCCCUGCAGGCACCAUUUGGCAUAUAUGACGUUCAAUAUCUCUGAUAUCACCAAUAAGGCGUUGGGUCCAGAUGAGCAUCCCAAAUCCCCAAUGCCUAUGCUGUCUGCAGACAAGUGCUUGCUCAACAUGUCUAGUAUAGCUUCCUCAGUUAUGCGCUUCCCAGCAGAUAUAAUGUUGCUCUACAAAAGGGAAAACAUUUUCUCUUCCAAUUGAUUAAACAUUUAUGUCUUGUCUACUUACCUUCCACAUUCUAGCAUUAAAAGAAUCGAUCUCAAAAAAUGAAAGGAAUCGAUCUUUGAUAAACACACGGGACAGUAAAGCAAUUAAUGAGAAGUACGUAACAUAUGAUAGAUUCAUAGAAUACAUAAUAGUAUAAGAAUGGAACUCCACCUGAACCGACGAGUUCUUUGCAUAACUGGUCUCCCCAGAUCCGGCGUUCAUGUGAAGCGUUUGCAUCACUUCCGUCUCUCUCCACGCCCUACAAACUCCGGUGAAUAACAGGGAAUGCUGAUGCUAUAUCGUAACUUACACCACGUGGUUCUGCCAUACCAAGAUAAUAAUUUUAAAAUGAUUUCUAAACCGUGCAUGCACGACAACAACCAAUCAAUGGUAUAAAAUGUAAUAUCAUUUUUAUAUUUCAAUUUUUUAUCUCUUUCCAUGUUCCACCGUGCAUGAUUCAUUCAUAUUAACAAAAUAAUUCUUUAUAUGGGUCCAAUUCAAUCAUUUAUGGUACUCUUUAUCAAGAUCUAACAAAAAUAUUGAUGCUGUUAAUUAUUUUGCAACCUGUCAAAAUAAACUGACUCUAGUUUCUAGGGAAAUUGAUCUUUUUCCUGCUUUUGGCCACAAUUUGCCGUAUGAAAUGGCACCUAAUCGGCUACUAACUGAUUACAAAAUCUCAGGCAAGCGGACAUGACUCGGUCCCUAGGCCCUAGUUAUCAGUUUAUGUGCAUUAGCUUUUCAAGAUUUGAAUCACAUGGUGCCAUGGGAUGCACGUUACCGGCUAUUAAAGGGUAAUUAAUUACGUACAAAUCUCAUAUCAACCCUACAUGACUGUCGGUCCCUACCUCCUACCAGUUUAUAUAUGUUCAACAUUAUCUUGGUAAGAUUUGAAAUCACAUGGUCAGCUGACUCCGAAUCGCAAAAAAUCAAUCCGUUUUUAAAAUAUAUUCUUAAAUGAUUAUUUGUCAAAGUACUUUUUGUUCUAAAAGCAGAGAAGUGCUUAAAAAAAAAUACAGUUUUCAAACAGCUGGUAGGGCUCUCUGCCUCUCUCACACAUCAAACCAUAUAGGGUCUGAUUCAUGGGUCGACGUCACCAAGGUCACUAUGGUUUUUACCAAAUAGAAAUUAACCAAUAUCAUAAAGCACUCACAAGAAUCUAUACAUUGUGGAUUGGGUCGUCAUUAUUCCGAGUGAUGGAGCCAUGUGUUCCACUUCCCAGAACAGUUGCUCAAUUAUGUUGAGUGGAGUGGGCAGGGCUUGUACGUCAUGUGUUUUAGUUUGAGCGAUGAAGACAAGGGGGACGUGUCAUCAUAAUUGGACUUCAUUUAAAUUUCAAAAUCCCUUUGGAAGAAAUUACAUAAUAAGUACAACCAGUAGUUACAGUGCUUUUUAGACUUGAUAAGCCUAUAUUUGGUGUCAAGGCUCAAAUUUCAAUUUGCUACCGCCAAGAUUCGAUCCAGGCAUAAGGCUUUGGGUUUAAGUUUGGUACCACUAAAUCAUCUUUUCUUUUGUUACUAUAUAUACAUAAUAAAUAUCUUAAAGUUCAUUAUUAAAAAAUAAUAUGUUAUUUCAAAAUUUAAUUAAUUAAUUAAUUAAUAUAUAAAAUCCACCAUUAUAAUUUUUUUAACAAGUAUUUUUUAAUAUCAUUAAUAUGAUAAUUAAAUUUAAAAAAUAUAAAUAUUAAAAAUUCAAAUAUGCAUCAUCAUUUAUUUUAUAUUAUUGAAUAUUUGAAUUAAAUAAAUUUUAAUUUUAAUAUUAAAUGUAUCAUCAUUAUUUCAUUAAUCUUAUUUUUAAAAAUGACUAUCACUUCACUUUUAAAUUUUUUAUAUUUAUCCUUUUAAUUUUGAAUGUUUUUAUUUCAAAAUAUUAAAAAUAUAAAUUUAUUCAAAAAAUAAUAAUAAUUAAGUUCAAGUAUUUUAUAAAUUAAAAUUAAUUUAAUCAUAUAAAUAAUAUAUUAUUAAUACUCAUAUAGCUUUACUUACCGAUAUUUUUUUUUAACUAUAUUUAUAUCAAUUAUAUUUUAAAAAAUAAUAAUUUUAAUAUAUAUGUUUUAUUUAUUUUAUCAUUUUUUUUUUAGUUUUUUUUAAAUAUUCUCAUAAAUUUUAAAUAAUUUUUAUCUUAUUAAUAUUUUUAUUAAAAUAUUCAUCAAUAUUUCUCUAAAUUUUUUUAUAUAUUUAUAAAAUCAAUAGCGAAUAUUCGUGUUAAUCACUAUUUCAAACUUGAGCUAAAACUCAUGUCCCACCUUGGACCACUCCACCUAAAAUAUCAAGCCAUGACAAGACAACAAAAAGGUCACAGGCCAUAGAAAAUAAUGUAAUCAUGCACGAUUUAAUCUCCAAUAAAUAUACAAGCCCAAAUCAACAAAGCCAGUAAACAGUAUCCAAAGCACAAUGAACAAAACCAAGUCUCCAAACAAUGUACUGUGAAGAUUUAACGGAAGAUAGAAAGAAAGACCUACCGCUUUUGAAAUGAUAGUGGAAAGAAUGGGUGUCGUAGUGGAGAGAUGGCGUCAGUGCCACCGGCGUUGAAGCGAAAAUAGCCACUUGUGGUGAACUUCACAAUGGAUGGUGAUGGCGGUGCUCACAGUGGGGUGAUGACAUGGGAGCCGUGGGUAUGGUGUGAAAAAGAGAGAGAUAAGAUAUGGCCGGAGGGGGGAACGCCGGUUUCGGAAAGGACUGUCGGCCGACAGUGGAGUCGUCGGUGGUGAGAAGGGCCGCCGUCGUGGGUAUGAUGGUGUGGAGAGAGAAGAGAAAUAGAGAGAGGGAAGAGAAAGGUGGCCUGUGGGUGUGAGGAAAAUGGAAAGAAGAAGAAAAGAGAGAAAAUGGGGAGGAAAUGAGGGUGAGUGGAAUUGUCGCGGGGAUCAGAG
RNAcentral lists this long non-coding RNA (12412 nucleotides) under Vitis vinifera (wine grape). RNAcentral describes it as "long non-coding RNA (VVIN_LNC006071)". Lineage: Eukaryota; Viridiplantae; Streptophyta; Magnoliopsida; Vitales; Vitaceae. The record is from RNAcentral.